AUGGCGUCGUCGUUGCCGUCUUCUUCUUGUUGGCAUUCCAUAGUGCUGGUAGCCAUGUUGUUGGUGCUGGUCAUGGAUCAGAUGGCCAUGGCGUACAUGUACGAUGACAUCGAGAUCGUGUGGGGCGACGACCACAGCUUCUUCUACAUGGACGACGCCGGCGACGACGAGGUCCUCGCGCUCUGCCUCGACCAGACCCACGGCUCGGGGUUCCACUCCAAGGAGGCGUACCUCUACGCCCGCUUCGACGUCGACCUCAUGCUCGUCCCCGACAACUCCGCCGGCACGGUCACCACGCUCUACCUGAUGCCGGAGGACGUGCCGUGGGACUACCACGACGAGGUGGACCUGGAGUUCCUGGGCAACGUGACCGGCGAGCCCUACACGCUCCACACCAACAUCUUCGCCAACGGCGUGGGCAACCGCGAGGAGCAGUUCCGCCUCUGGUUCGACCCCACCGCCGACUUCCACACCUACUCCAUCGACUGGAACCCCAAGCGCAUCACGAUCCUGGUGGACGGGGUGCCGAUCCGGAGCUUCAGGAACAAGGAGGAGCACGGGGUGGCGUUCCCGACGUGGCAGAAGAUGCGGCUGCACGGGAGCCUCUGGAACGCCGACGACUGGGCGACGCAGGGGGGGCGCGUCAAGACGGACUGGUCGGAGGCGCCCUUCUUCGCCCACUACCGCAACCUCCGCGUGUCCUGGUGCCGGCCGUCGCCGGGACUGGCGUGGUGCGGCGACGAGCCGCCGGAGUCGACGUGGUUCGACCGUGGCCUGGACGCGGCGGCGCUGCGGCGGGCGCGCGACGCGCACAUGAUCUACGACUACUGCAAGGACGUCCAGCGGUACAGGUGGUCGGGGCUCCCCAAGGAAUGCACCGUGGACUAG
This 888-nucleotide ribosomal RNA is filed under the name Triticum aestivum (bread wheat). Its description in RNAcentral is "partial small subunit ribosomal RNA". Lineage: Eukaryota; Viridiplantae; Streptophyta; Magnoliopsida; Poales; Poaceae. The record is from RNAcentral.